UGGUGGAGUGAUUUGUCUGGUUAAUUCCGUUAACGAACGAGACCUCAGCCUGCUAAAUAGUUCUAUGUAAUCUCUGAUUAUAUCUGAACUUCUUAGAGGGACUUUCGGUGUGUAUCCGAAGGAAGUUUGAGGCAAUAACA
RNAcentral lists this ribosomal RNA (140 nucleotides) under uncultured eukaryote. RNAcentral's name for it is "partial 18S ribosomal RNA". It matches the Rfam family "Eukaryotic small subunit ribosomal RNA", at positions 1299 to 1458 of the family's 1831-position model. The record is from RNAcentral.